This 292-nucleotide ribosomal RNA is filed under the name uncultured bacterium. RNAcentral's name for it is "partial 16S ribosomal RNA". It matches the Rfam family "Bacterial small subunit ribosomal RNA", at positions 505 to 796 of the family's 1533-position model. The record is from RNAcentral.
GUGUCAGCAGCCGCGGUAACACGUAGGGCGCAAGCGUUGUCCGGAAUUAUUGGGCGUAAAGAGCUCGUAGGUGGUUUGUUACGUCUGCUGUGAAAACCUAGGGCUUAACCCUGGGCUUGCAGUGGAUACGGGCAGACUAGAGGUAGGUAGGGGAGAAUGGAAUUCCUGGUGUAGCGGUGAAAUGCGCAGAUAUCAGGAGGAACACCGGUGGCGAAGGCGGUUCUCUGGGCCUUACCUGACACUGAGGAGCGAAAGCGUGGGGAGCGAACAGGAUUAGAAACCCCCGUAGUCC